UGGGUCAGUAUGUGACAGGGAUGCCUUUC
This 29-nucleotide non-coding RNA is filed under the name Mus musculus (house mouse). The record is from RNAcentral. Lineage: Eukaryota; Metazoa; Chordata; Mammalia; Rodentia; Muridae.